ACCGCCGUCAACGUCAACAGAGGGUGCAAAACACGCUGUUGCUCCAUGUGUGCCGCUUGCUUGCGCCAUUCCCCUCCCCGCCACGCCAGAGCAUUGGCUCGUAGUCCUGCAUCCCAGCAGAUGACUGCAAGGAUUUACCCCAGCUCCAGCCCCUUUGUGUAAUAACCUACUUUAUAACUUCUACUCUUCCACUGUGCCUCGGUAUUGGUAUGGAGCAGAAUCCAACUCAAACCAAACCGUUAUUUCAAGAGCACGCCUAGUAAGUUCCCCUGGUAGUUUAUAACUGUUAUUUUGCUAAUGGAAAGUUAAUCAUUGGCUUGAAACUGUGCAAAAAUGUUAAGGGAAAGAAUCACAAGAUCACAGGAAGAACUCUAAUAUGCUCUCAAGUAGGUCUCUCUUAUUUGCCUCUGCAGACUUCAGCUCUAAAUACCUCAGGGUGAAAUGUGUCUGAGCAUUUCAACACCUAGCAAAUAUUAACUACCUCAGAACAGAUUAGAACAACAAGGCUUGGAGGGUGCCUUUAUGCUGCAGCCUGUGAAGAUGAAAAGUCUCAAACCCGAGCAACAUUGUGGUCACUGCCUACUGGAAGUAAGCUCGGUAAUCUGAAUGGCAACCACCAUUUCAGGAAGCCAAAAAGUUGCUGUGGUGCUGACCAAAGAGGUUGUUGUGUCUCAUAUGCCAUGAUUACCACCUCUGACCUGCCAGUGCAGAUCAGGUAGGUCCCUCUAAUCUCUUUCCACCUAAAGGAGC
This 750-nucleotide long non-coding RNA is filed under the name Dromaius novaehollandiae (emu). RNAcentral's name for it is "lncRNA (ENSDNVG00000007799.1)". The record is from RNAcentral. Lineage: Eukaryota; Metazoa; Chordata; Aves; Casuariiformes; Dromaiidae.